RNAcentral lists this ribosomal RNA (703 nucleotides) under uncultured fungus. Its description in RNAcentral is "SSU rRNA". It matches the Rfam family "Eukaryotic small subunit ribosomal RNA", at positions 391 to 1095 of the family's 1831-position model. Lineage: Eukaryota; Fungi. The record is from RNAcentral.
GGAGCCUGAGAAACGGCUACCACAUCCAAGGAUGGCAGCAGGCGCGCAAAUUACCCAGUCCCGACACGGGGAGGUAGCGACAAUAAAUAACAAUACGGGGUUCUUUCGGAUCUCGUAAUUGGAAUGAGUAUAAUUUAAAUCUCUUAACGAGGAACAAUUGGAGGGCAAGUCUGGUGCCAGCAGCCGCGGUAAUUCCAGCUCCAAUAGCGUAUAUAAAAGUUGUUGCAGUUAAAAAGCUCGUAGUUGAAUUUCGGGGUUAGUAGGUUGGUCAUGCCUCUGGUAUGUACUGGUCUCACUGAUUCCUCCUUCCUUAUGAACCGUAAUGCCAUUAAUUUGGUGUUGCGGGGAAUUUGGACUGUUACUUUGAAAAAAUUAGAGUGUUUAAAGCAAGCUAACGCUUGAAUACAUUAGCAUGGAAUAAUGAAAUAGGACGUUCGAUCUUAUUUUGUUGGUUUCUAGGAUUGACCUAAUGAUUAAUAGGGAUAGUUGGGGGCAUUAGUAUUCAAUUGUCAGAGGUGAAAUUCUUGGAUUUAUUGAAGACUAACUACUGCGAAAGCAUUUGCCAAGGAUGUUUUCAUUAAUCAAGAACGAAAGUUAGGGGAUCGAAGACGAUCAGAUACCGUCGUAGUCUUAACCAUAAACUAUGCCGACUAGGGAUCGGAUGAUGUUAAUUUUUUAAUGACUCAUUCGGCGCCUUACGGGA